UACGUAGGUGGCGAGCGUUGUCCGGAUUUACUGGGCGUAAAGGGAGCGUAGGCGGACUUUUAAGUGAGAUGUGAAAUACCCGGGCUCAACUUGGGUGCUGCAUUUCAAACUGGAAGUCUAGAGUGCAGGAGAGGAGAAUGGAAUUCCUAGUGUAGCGGUGAAAUGCGUAGAGAUUAGGAGGAACACCAGUUGCGAAGGCGGCUCUCUGGACUGUAACUGACGCUGAGGCUCGAAAGCGUGGGGAGCAAACAGGAUUAGAUACCCCUGUA
RNAcentral lists this ribosomal RNA (269 nucleotides) under uncultured prokaryote. RNAcentral's name for it is "partial 16S ribosomal RNA". It matches the Rfam family "Bacterial small subunit ribosomal RNA", at positions 524 to 792 of the family's 1533-position model. The record is from RNAcentral.